This 294-nucleotide ribosomal RNA is filed under the name uncultured bacterium. Its description in RNAcentral is "partial 16S ribosomal RNA". It matches the Rfam family "Bacterial small subunit ribosomal RNA", at positions 505 to 796 of the family's 1533-position model. The record is from RNAcentral.
GUGUCAGCAGCCGCGGUAAUACAGAGGGUGCGAGCGUUGUUCGGAAUUACUGGGCGUAAAGCGCGCGCAGGCGGCCCUUUAAGUCCGUCGGUCAAAUGCCGGGGCUCAACCCCGUUGCAUGCCGAGGAUACUGGAGGGCUGGAGACACGUAGAGGCAAGCGGAAUUCCGGGUGUAGCGGUGGAAUGCGUAGAGAUCCGGAAGAACACCGGAGGCGAAGGCGGCUUGCUGGGCGUGAUCUGACGCUGAGGCGCGAAAGCGUGGGGAGCGAACAGGAUUAGAAACCCUCGUAGUCC